CACUAAUUUUUCUCUAGGGACUCGCAGCUUGCAAAAUCUAAUCAGGAUGCAAUGAGAAACAUAUUAAUCGUAUUUUCCAAGUUAAAUUCGGGCAUAAGAUAUGUUCAAGGAAUGAAUGAAAUCUUGGCACCUCUAUUUUAUGUAUUCAAGAAUGACCCUGAUGCGGAAAUGGCGAUUACAGCUUUUGAAAAACAAUAUGGUAAUGUUCAUUUAUCAUUAUUGUUAUCAACUUGGCAGA
Molecule: long non-coding RNA, 238 nt
Organism: Hibiscus syriacus
Lineage: Eukaryota; Viridiplantae; Streptophyta; Magnoliopsida; Malvales; Malvaceae
Exons: 3
Source: RefSeq, a predicted model, not a curated record